Homo sapiens (human) is the source of this 366-nucleotide long non-coding RNA. RefSeq lists it as uncharacterized. NCBI's taxonomy places the organism in Eukaryota, Metazoa, Chordata, Mammalia, Primates, Hominidae. The transcript has 3 exons. The record is from RefSeq and is a predicted model, not a curated record.
AGAGCGAGAAAGAACACAUGCAUCUCGCAGGCAGACUGACUCUGAAAAAGGCCAACAAGGCCUACGUCAAGCACACCAAGCUUUUUCUUUCAAACUUAUCACUCAGGGUGAAAGAUGGAGGUGUGUUAAGAAGGCAAGUAGGAUGCUACUUGAAACCCAGAAACAAGUCUACCAAAACAGCUUGGGUAGGAAGACAGUUAACUUUGAAGAUUUAACUGGAGGAGAAUGUUACUCAUUGUAAAUAAUUCUUCAACCAGAAGUGUGCUGCCUUUAGUGAUGGCUAAUACAACCUAUGAAUGCAUAUCUUAGAAGAGAGAUACAUGUAAGUUAAGGGCAGAAACCCAAAAUGAUCAAAUUAAAAGCUCA